This 382-nucleotide ribosomal RNA is filed under the name Gemmatimonadota bacterium. RNAcentral describes it as "bacterial SSU rRNA". It matches the Rfam family "Bacterial small subunit ribosomal RNA", at positions 1153 to 1533 of the family's 1533-position model. Lineage: Bacteria; Pseudomonadati; Gemmatimonadota. The record is from RNAcentral.
CGGUGAUAAACCGGAGGAAGGUGGGGACGACGUCAAGUCAUCAUGGCCCUUACGUCUGGGGCUACACACGUGCUACAAUGGCCAACACAAAGGGCUGCGAGCCAGCGAUGGUAAGCCAAUCCCAAAAAGUUGGUCCAAGUUCGGAUUGCAGUCUGCAACUCGACUGCAUGAAGUCGGAAUCGCUAGUAAUCGUAGAUCAGCCAUGCUACGGUGAAUACGUUCCCGGGCCUUGUACACACCGCCCGUCACGCCAUGGAAGCCGGGAGUGCCCGAAGUCCGUGACCCAACCCUCGGGAGGGAGCGGCCGAAGGCAAAUUCGGUAACUGGGGCGAAGUCGUAACAAGGUAGCCGUAGGGGAACCUGCGGCUGGAUCACCUCCUUU